GUGCCAGCAGCCGCGGUAAGACGGAGGAUGCAAGUGUUAUCCGGAAUCACUGGGCGUAAAGCGUCUGUAGGUUGUUCAAUAAGUCAACUGUUAAAUCUUGAGGCUCAACUUCAAAAUCGCAGUCGAAACUAUUAAACUAGAGUAUAGUAGGGGUAAAGGGAAUUUCCAGUGGAGCGGUGAAAUGCGUAGAGAUUGGAAAGAACACCAAUGGCGAAAGCACUUUACUGGGCUAUUACUGACACUGAGAGACGAAAGCUAGGGUAGCAAAUGGGAUUAGAUACCCCAGUAGUCCUAGCCGUAAACGAUGGAUACUAGAUGUUGAACAGAUCGACCUGUGCAGUAUCAAAGCUAACGCGUUAAGUAUCCCGCCCGGGAAGUACGCUCGCAAGAGUGAAACUCAAAGGAAUUGGCGGGGGCCCGCACAAGCGGUGGGGCAUGUGGUUUAAUUCGAUGCAACGCGAAGAACCUUACCAGGGUUUGACAUGAUACGAAUUUCUUUGAAAGAAGAAAGUGCCGUUUGGAACGUAUACACAGGUGGUGCAUGGCUGUCGUCAGCUCGUGUCGUGAGAUGUUGGGUUAAGUCCCGCAACGAGCGCAACCCUUAUUUUUAGUUGCCUUAUGGAACUCUAAAAAGACUGCUGGUUAUAAACCGGAGGAAGGCGGGGAUGACGUCAAGUCAGCAUGCCCCUUGCACCCUGGGCUACACACGUGCUACAAUGGGCAAGACAAUGAGAUGCAAGCCUGCGAAGGUUAGCUAAUCUAUAAACUUGUUCUAAGUUCGGAUUGUAGGCUGCAACUCGCCUACAUGAAGUUGGAAUCGCUAGUAAUCGCUGGUCAUCUACACAGCGGUGAAUCCGUUCCCGGGCCUUGUACACACCGCCCGUCACACCAUGGAAGCUGAUUAUGCCCGAAGUCGUUACUCUAACCGUUUGGAGGAGAACGCCUAAGGUAGAAUUAGUGACUGGGGUGAAGUCGUAACAAGGUAACC
Molecule: ribosomal RNA, 988 nt
Filed under: uncultured diatom
Lineage: Eukaryota; Bacillariophyta
Description: bacterial SSU rRNA
Rfam family: Bacterial small subunit ribosomal RNA
Source: RNAcentral